UGGGGAAUAUUGCACAAUGGGCGCAAGCCUGAUGCAGCCAUGCCGCGUGUAUGAAGAAGGUCUUCGGGUUGUAAAGUACUUUCAGCGGGGAGGAAGGGAGUAAAGUUAAUACCUUUGCUCAUUGACGUUACCCGCAGAAGAAGCACCGGCUAACUCCGUGCCAGCAGCCGCGGUAAUACGGAGGGUGCAAGCGUUAAUCGGAAUUACUGGGCGUAAAGCGCACGCAGGCGGUUUGUUAAGUCAGAUGUGAAAUCCCCGGGCUCAACCUGGGAACUGCAUCUGAUACUGGCAAGCUUGAGUCUCGUAGAGGGGGGUAGAAUUCCAGGUGGAGCGGUGAAAUGCGUAGAGAUCUGGAGGAAUACCGGUGGCGAAGGCGGCCCCCUGGACAAAGACUGACGCUCAGGUGCGAAAGCGUGGGGAGCAAACAGG
Molecule: ribosomal RNA, 429 nt
Filed under: Chloroflexota bacterium
Lineage: Bacteria; Bacillati; Chloroflexota
Description: Chloroflexi bacterium partial 16S ribosomal RNA
Rfam family: Bacterial small subunit ribosomal RNA
Source: RNAcentral